Molecule: long non-coding RNA, 606 nt
Organism: Helianthus annuus (common sunflower)
Lineage: Eukaryota; Viridiplantae; Streptophyta; Magnoliopsida; Asterales; Asteraceae
Exons: 5
Source: RefSeq, a predicted model, not a curated record
UAUCUAUAUUAAAACAAAACAUUUUAGUGCCACUUGGCAUUAUCUUAAACCUAUUAGUGCCACCUGUCAUCUAAAUAUUCCUCACAAUUCUCAUUUGAGCGGCAACACGUCCAUUCACUUCCUCUGCUUCUCUACCGCCUCUGUAUUUAGGUUGUAACGCUCAUAAAGACUUUUCAAGUUUCCAUAAUUUUUUGAAAUCACCAAAUCCCUUUCUCUCUCUAAAUUUUUUGUGAUGGUGGUUUAUGGUCUCUGGUCCUCGGUGUUAGCAACGACGGCUAGGGUUUUUAAGCGAGAUAUGAACGACGUUUGUUCCAGUUAGGGUUCCGACGAUCGACAACUUGUGGGUUGCUGAGAUGACAGAGAUGGUGGUUGGAGCUAUAUCAGCUAGGGUUUCCGGCAAAGAAGGAAACGCAGCGGUUACUCAGCGAACCAGCUCAGGGGAUAAGCGUGUCGCCUUCCGAAGAUAAUAUGCAUUAUUUUAAUGUUAUGAUCCUUGGUCCAACGCAGUCUCCUUAUGAAGCCGCUUAUUUUAACAAGAAUUCUUGAAAGACAACAAUCUACUGGAUCUUUCGACAAUCAUAACUCCAAAAUCAGAGCACAGGCAAG